AGUGAACGCUGGCGGUAGGCCUAACACAUGCAAGUCGAACGGCAGCACAGUAAGAGCUUGCUCUUACGGGUGGCGAGUGGCGGACGGGUGAUGAAUACAUCGGAAUCUACUUUUUCGUGGGGGAUAACGUAGGGAAACUUACGCCAAUACCGCAUACGACCUACGGGUGAAAGCAUGGGAUCUUCGGACCUUGCGUGAUUGAAUGAGCCGAUGUCGGAUUAGCUAGUUGGCGGGGUAAAGGCCCACCAAGGCGACGAUCCGUAGCUGGUCUGAGAGGAUGAUCAGCCACACUGGAACUGAGACACGGUCCAGACUCCUACGGGAGGCAGCAGUGGGGAAUAUUGGACAAUGGGCGCAAGCCUGAUCCAGCCAUACCGCGUGGGUGAAGAAGGCCUUCGGGUUGUAAAGCACUUUUGUUGGGAAAGAAAAGCAGCGGGUUAAUACCCCGCUGUUCUGACGGUACCAAAAGAAUAAGCACCGGCUAACUUCGUG
This 492-nucleotide ribosomal RNA is filed under the name uncultured bacterium. RNAcentral describes it as "partial 16S ribosomal RNA". It matches the Rfam family "Bacterial small subunit ribosomal RNA", at positions 29 to 507 of the family's 1533-position model. The record is from RNAcentral.